This 1789-nucleotide long non-coding RNA is filed under the name Setaria italica (foxtail millet). RNAcentral's name for it is "long non-coding RNA (SITA_LNC005575)". The record is from RNAcentral. Lineage: Eukaryota; Viridiplantae; Streptophyta; Magnoliopsida; Poales; Poaceae.
CCCUGUCUUUGUUUAUGAGAGUGCUGUAACAAUCAGCUGCUCAAUCAUGAUGCAUAUAAAAUUAGCCUCCCCCUGCUGAUGGUCCUGUUAUUGUUUAUUGAUGUGCUGCCUGCAGGGACUAUCAUGACCCCAUCAAGUGGAGGAAAGGGUAGAAGAAAGCUUUAACAAAUAAUAGGUGUAUCUUCAGGGAGGGAACAGCAACAGCAACAACAAGAAAGAAACAAAUCUAGGUUGUUUUAGUUCUAGACUUCUAGGUCUAAGUAUAUGAUAGUAGUCCUAUAAAUAAUAGUCGUUUAGUAGCUCCUGCCGGUAUCAAGAACAAAGAUCAAAGGUCCAUCUCGUAAGCUCGUUUGUAGUAUGGAUCUCAGAAUGAUACAGUCAUUAAACCGUAGAUGAUGUAGUAGUAACUAGUCCUGGCAGCCAGUUGUAGUGAAGUGACAUGGCUGCAUACAGACAUCCAAAGAAAACAGAGGCUAGACUGCUAGAGAGGUAGAGGAGUGGACAAAAGCCAGAGAGGUAGAGGAGUGGACAAAAGCCAGGCAGUCAUAGUGCUGCAGCUGCACAACAGCACAAGGAAAAGUGACGCGACGAGAGGGACCAGAGCACUCACAUGAGCAGUUCAGCAUGGACCCGUCAUCCGUGUCCUAUUUUGCCCAUUGCUGUUGCAUCGUCUUGCAUGCUUGCAGCACUCCUUGGGUCUGUGCAUCCACCUUUUGCUCUUCUUUUCACCCUUGUAGAACAGCAGGAGGUAGCAGACAAAGAAAUGGAAAAGUAAUUAUCAGCCAAUAUUUCAUCUGUCAUGUUUCGAUAAUGUGGUUUUAUUAUAUGGUGAAGGGCUUAUGUUUGCUUUAGAUUUUCCUGCACAAAACAACUGCUUGUUCUGAUUCUAAAGCUCAUUUGGAAUGCAUUCUGCAGCAUUUGAUCGACAGGUGAACAGAGAAUGUAAUGCCCAUUUGGAAUACAAGAAUUUUCAAUUUUGGUGAUAAUAGUUAAAGUGUUUGUGGAGGUUUGGUCCGGUUUGCCGAUUUUCUGGGCAACCGAAAGGCAGGGGGCAUGAGAGCGAGGAGAAUCUGAUGCAGUGUGAGAUUGACGUGGCUGAGUGAAUGGAGGGAGACCUGAUGGGGAAAGGGGGAACAGCACGCUCACCUUUCGGUAUAUGGGAUGGGAUGCCCAACUUGCUUGAGCUUGGUGCAUGCAGAAUGAACUUGUCUCAUGGCUGGCGAUGCAAACGGGUUGUCUCGUGCUCACGCUUGUUGGCACCAUGCAUUGGAUUGGAUGAUCUGCGUCGUUUGCAACUCUCCAUGCAUGGUCUCGCCAUCGCCAUCAGAAAGAGCAACAGUGCAGCUGAUGUCUUGUGUUUUCUUAGGGGGUGUUUGGAUAGCAGGGGCUAAAAUUUAGCCCUGCACCUCGGAUGUUCGGAUGCUAAUUAGGAGGACUAAAUAUGAACUAAUUAUAAAACUAAUAGCAGAACCCCUAGGCUAAAUCGCGAUAUGAAUCUAUUAAGCCUAAUUAAUCCAUCAUUAGCGAAUGACAUCACAUUGUCAAAUCAUGGACUAAUUAGGCUUAAUAGAUUUGUCUCGCGAUUUAGCCUAGGGGUUGUGUAAUUAAUUUUAUAAUUAGUCUAUGUUUAAUACUCCUAAUUAGUGUUCAAAUAUCCGAUGUGACAUGGGCUAAAAUUUAGCCCAUGCCUCCCAAACACCCCCUUAGCUAGUAUGAAUGUGAUAUAAAGAAAGCUAGAGAAGAGAACUGGUCGGUCGUUACUUGCUCCUAACCACCGGGCAUGAUCGAG